UGAACGCUGGCGGCGUGCCUAAUACAUGCACGUCGAGCGAACGGACGAGAAGCUUGCUUCUCUGAUGUUAGCGGCGGACGGGUGAGUAACACGUGGAUAACCUACCUAUAAGACUGGGAUAACUUCUGGAAACCGUAGCUAAUACCGGAUAAUAUUUUGAACCGCAUGGUUCAAAAGUGAAAGACGGUCUUGCUGUCACUUAUAGAUGGAUCCGCGCUGCAUUAGCUAGUUGGUAAGGUAACGGCUUACAAAGGCAACGAUGCAUAGCCGACCUGAGAGGGGGAACGGCCAAACGGGAAAUGAGACACGGAACAGAAUACUACGGGAGGCAGCAGAAGGGAAUAUUCCGCAAUGGGCGAAAGCAUGACGGAGCAACGCCGCGUGAGUGAUGAAGGUCUUCGGAUCGUAAAACUCUGUUAUUAGGGAAGAACAUAUGUGUAAGUAAAUGUGCACAUCUUGACGGUACCUAAUCAGAAAGCCACGGCUAACUACGUG
Molecule: ribosomal RNA, 495 nt
Filed under: uncultured bacterium
Lineage: Bacteria
Description: partial 16S ribosomal RNA
Rfam family: Bacterial small subunit ribosomal RNA
Source: RNAcentral